UGGGGAAUCUUGCGCAAUGGGCGAAAGCCUGACGCAGCGACGCCGCGUGAGUGAUGAAGGCCUUCGGGUUGUAAAGCUCUGUGGAGGGGGACGAAUAAGGGCCGUCGAAUAGACGGCUCGAUGACGGUACCCCUUUAGCAAGCACCGGCUAACUCUGUGCCAGCAGCCGCGGUAAGACAGAGGGUGCAAACGUUGUUCGGAAUUACUGGGCGUAAAGCGCGUGUAGGCGGCUCGGCAAGUCGGGUGUGAAAGCCCUGGGCUUAACCUAGGAAGUGCACUCGAAACUGCCAAGCUUGAGUUCUGGAGAGGAAGGCGGAAUUCUCGGUGUAGAGGUGAAAUUCGUAGAUAUCGAGAGGAACACCGGUGGCGAAGGCGGCCUUCUGGACAGCAACUGACGCUGAGACGCGAAAGCGUGGGGAGCAAACAGG
This 428-nucleotide ribosomal RNA is filed under the name uncultured bacterium. RNAcentral's name for it is "bacterial SSU rRNA". It matches the Rfam family "Bacterial small subunit ribosomal RNA", at positions 355 to 776 of the family's 1533-position model. The record is from RNAcentral.